Diorhabda carinulata is the source of this 1933-nucleotide long non-coding RNA. RefSeq lists it as uncharacterized. Lineage: Eukaryota; Metazoa; Arthropoda; Insecta; Coleoptera; Chrysomelidae. The record is from RefSeq and is a predicted model, not a curated record. The transcript has 2 exons.
GUACAAAUAAAAUUAUGAUGUUAUGUUAUUUCCAUCAUAUUUUUAGCAAUCAAUGUCUACAUUGUGAGUUUUGAAACGUUGAAAUAUUCUGAGUGAUGUUUAGAUAAAAAUAUGGAGAUGGAUAUCAUAUUUUUUACUGUGUAAUGUUUAAAAAUUGGAAAAGACAUUUAACUCUAACUAAACUAUAAUGGCACUUCAGAUCCUUUUAGGAGAUAAAAUAUGUUAUAUCAAGUUGGAGGAGAUAUUUUUCAUUUUCAACAUAAUUUUAGUUGAGUGUUUCAUUUCUUUAUACAUCAAUAAAUAUUUAUUUGUAUGCCAAGGACUAAAAUUGCUACUUUGUUGGACGAAUCUGACGAGUUCAAUAAAGUAGUAUUUCAGCCGCGGCGUACACAACAGACGCAUAAGAUCCAUAACUUUUUCAAUUACACUCAGGAAAGAAAAUAAAUAAUAGAGAAUUAUAAACAUCGAGAAUGGUGACACCACUUCAUAAAGAGCCGCAUUGCUUUCUUAGGUGAGAUCAGAUGGCGUGGAUUCGAGUAACUCUUCAUCGCUGACGUUUUCUUUUUCAUCAUCAUUCAUCGUUAUUCAUUAAUUUAAAAAAACUUCGGAUAAAACAAAUAAUUUCAGAAAAUUAAAAAUUUAAGGUUAUGCAAAAUCAUCGAAGUGAAACUGUCAACUGUCAACAUUGAAGUGGCCAGAGUCACAUUUGAGGAAGUUAAAGUUGUUUACUCCAGAGCGUCCCGAAAGUGUUUUGCAGUACGGAACUGUCACUUUUACUACAUGGAACACUAAAAACGCAACUUUCGGUAUGUAAAUGAAUACAGAACAACGAACCACUUUCAGAUGGCGUCGUCUAAAAAAGUUAUUUUAUUUCUUAUUAUGAAUUAUCAACAAUUGCAAAAUAAUUAAAAAUAACAUUUAAUAUAAAAAAUGCAAAUCGCUGUAGCCAACGCAUGCAAACGAUUAAUAUGGUUACCAUAAUGGCGUCUAAACAGAAAUUUCGCGAUGUAACCAUCCAUGUGAUAAUCACGGCGGCCAUAUUUUCAUAUAUUGAAAAGAAAUUGAAACAGUAGUUGAUUCAAUAUAAGUAACACUGAUACAAAAGCAUAUCAUGAAAAAAAUAUGUUAACACUAAGAAAUUUGUGAUAAAAUAAAAUCCAAAAUAAGAUCAAUAUUAGAAACUUACAGCGAAUUGCAAAAGAAUGAUGUGGCUAGUAUUUGAUAUAUAAACUAUAGAGGAACAUCAUGUUUAUAACAUGUGGUAGCAGGUAAAAAUAUCUACGAAAUAAAUAAACUAAGACAGAGCUGAAGUAGCAUACUCACAAACUUAACUCAAACAAACAUCUUACACCUAUAAAAGUACUGUACUAGUUCUAUUUAUGGUAAGCAACUAAGGAAAAAUUGACUUUUAGGGAAGAAAUAUUAACUAAAUUUGGCAACCAUCCAAUUUAUUGAUUAUCUUCUGCAUCUGUUACUUGAUCAAAAGAUCCCAUUUUCUCUGAUUUCAUGAUAAUUCCAACAUCUCACACUUCUGGAACUGUUGAUACAUCCUCUGCAUCAAAAUGUUCUUCAACGUAUAUAUCAAAAAAUUUGCUUUCGCGACAAGUUUAUGUUGAAUGAUAAAAUUUACUAAAUUUAAAAAAAAAAGAGAAAGUCAUGAAUCUUGCAAGAUACAUUGCCAAAUUAAGGGUUAAUGUGCACAUAAGAUGAAGUCUGAAGGAUUGCAUGAAGUUACAGAAGCAACUAGGAACAGAGAUACAUGAAGAGGGUUAGGGUUGAUCCUUGUAAUCAGUACAUAAUGUCACCUCAAAGGACCGAAGAGAAAAAUCCACUAGAUCCGAUGCUUGCGUUGAUUCAUUCUCAAAUAUUUGCAUAUUUAUUUAUUAUUUGUUUAUAAGCUAUAAUAAAGUUUCCGAAAAGAUCAUUUUGAAUA